RNAcentral lists this ribosomal RNA (639 nucleotides) under Eulimnichus ater. RNAcentral describes it as "eukaryotic LSU rRNA". It matches the Rfam family "Eukaryotic large subunit ribosomal RNA", at positions 386 to 825 of the family's 3401-position model. The record is from RNAcentral. Lineage: Eukaryota; Metazoa; Arthropoda; Insecta; Coleoptera; Limnichidae.
GGGUAAACCUGAGAAACCCGAAAGGUCGAACGGGGAGAUUCAACCGCGUCUCGGAAUCGGCGAGUGGCGUUCUAGCGACAGUCGGCGUUCGCGUCGGCUGCGCUGUUCGUUCCCGUCCGGUUUCGAAUGCGUGCACUUCUCCUCUUGUAGGACGUCGCGACCCGUUGGGUGCCGGUCUAAGGCGUACGGUGGAGCCCGUUCGGACGGUUCGCCGUUCCGAGCGGACCCGUGCUGUCCCGCCCGGCUUGCCCGACGGUAUGCAAAUGGCGCGGGGCCGCGAUUUUCGCGUCCGACCCGUUGCAAGUUCGAACUAAGUGCGGAUCACGGACCUAGUGCCGAAUCUGUACCAGUUUGGCUGUUGGCGACGGUUGUCUCGGACGGUCCCGAUAAACGCCGGUCGGCGACGCUAUAGCUUUGGGUACUUUCAGGACCCGUCUUGAAACACGGACCAAGGAGUCUAGCAUGUGCGCGAGUCAUUGGGACUAGCGAAACCUAAAGGCGUAAUGAAAGUGAAGGCGCGCUUUCGCGCGCCGAGGGAGGAUGGGUCGCGUCUAGGCGCGGCUCCGCACUCCCGGGGCGUUUCAUUCUCAUCGCGAGAAGAGGCGCACCCAGAGCGUACACGCUGGGACCCGAAAGAUG